Molecule: ribosomal RNA, 1707 nt
Filed under: Triticum aestivum (bread wheat)
Lineage: Eukaryota; Viridiplantae; Streptophyta; Magnoliopsida; Poales; Poaceae
Description: partial small subunit ribosomal RNA
Source: RNAcentral
AUGGACCUUGAGAUCAUCCUUCGGCUGGACAUGGCACAAGAGGAGAGGUCCCUUAGCUCCGGUGAACGUGACCUCACAAGAGAGCUUAAAAGAAAGAUCAACCAUCAAAGAAGAAAGAAGUUUAUCCACCGCCUCAAGCAUAACACUAUAUGGGUCACAAAUCACAAUGACAAGAAAGAUAUUGUGCAAUCUCACUUUGCUAGAGCCACUGAUUGGGUCUCCGCCUUCCUAUCCACGGCCUCAUCUAGAGUUUUGCUAAACGGUGUUGUUGGUGACCCAAUUAAGCAUGGUUGUGGUCUUCGGCAGGGGGAUCCCCUCUCCCCUCUGCUUUUUGUCCUCGCUAUUGACCCGCUCCAUCACAUCCUCGCCAAGGCUACCGAUCAAGGCCUGCAGCAUCCUCUUCGUGGUCGGCCCAUCCGUGCAUCCUUGUAUGUAGAUGAUGGUACUAUCUUUUUCGCGUCGAUCAAGGAAGAUAUUCACUUCUUGGCUUUGACUCUGAGCUCCUUUGGGGAGGUUACCAGCUUGGUCACCAACUGCGCCAAAAGCCUUGUGGCGCCCAUUUGUUGCGGCAACAUCGACCUUGAAGACAUUUUGCAGGCCUUCCCAGCGGUCCGGGCUACCUUCCCCAUGCGAUAUCUCGGUAUUCCGUUGUCGGUUAGAAGACUAAAGCGUAUCCACUUUCUGUAUUUGGAGGACAAGGUGGCGGGAAAGCUUCCACCUUGGUCGACUAUGCAUGUGGCUACGCUGGGGCGCAUUGUCUUGGUCAAGGUUGUGAUCACUGCCAUUUCCAUUUACCACCUGAUGCCUCUUGACCUUCUAGUUGAAGUGAUGAAUAAGAUCGAUAGCAUGCGGCGUGCCUACCUUUGGGCGAGUUGUGAUAAGGUGAACGGCGAAAUUGAAGGAAUGCGUUGUGCUAGCAACGACAAAGAUCUCUUCACCGCUGCCACACGGGAAUUUGCAACCCUGUGGGAGAUGCUUGCUGAUGUAACCCUCAACCAGGGAAGCAAAGACACCAUAACUUACUCAGUUAGAGAUUGGAGGCUCAAGGCGGUUAAUGGUGGAGGUGGAUCGGUUACUAGAUUGAAUGAUAAAUUUUCGUCUUUGAAACCUAGUAUGACAAUGGUGUUUGCAUGUGUCCCUUUCCCUUACAACCGGUUCAAUACAACUUUCGAUCUCGGGUGGACACCGUGCAAUCAGAGGAAGAAAAUGGAGGUCGACUACGAGGAGGAGAUGGCCCUCUACAUUGCGCUUGAGUGGUCCAAGGUGGAGACCGGCGGCAGCUCCAGAUCUGGAGCGUCACCGCACCUCCCGCGCCGGCGCAGCGCAGACGCUGGAGCUGGACCCUCCCGGCCCGUGCAGCGACACCCGGCCACAGUCUGCGCCGGUCCCGUGUUGGCUCCUUCCCCCGCUGGCCGUUGUUGCACAUGGCUAGCGUUGGGUGCUUGUGCCUGCGCCUCUGGCAUGCAGGCGCAUUCUGGAGUCAGAGGAAGGCAGCGUGCACGGGAGAGGAAGGCGGCGGAGCAGUCCGCGCGCCGCUGCCACGGACGGAGCCGGACGCCGACGAGGACGCGCGUCUCCUCGCCUGGGUUUCAAUUUGGUUGUCCGUCGUUUGAUCACGCAUCAUGGAUUCAUGGUCAAUAUUGGUUACUGGGCCAUCAGAUUCUGAAGAAAUUACCGAACGCCCAGCUCGCCUGCCGUACAGUGUAG